RNAcentral lists this ribosomal RNA (1473 nucleotides) under Salmonella enterica. RNAcentral's name for it is "bacterial SSU rRNA". It matches the Rfam family "Bacterial small subunit ribosomal RNA". Lineage: Bacteria; Pseudomonadati; Pseudomonadota; Gammaproteobacteria; Enterobacterales; Enterobacteriaceae. The record is from RNAcentral.
UAACAGGAAGCAGCUUGCUGCUUUGCUGACGAGUGGCGGACGGGUGAGUAAUGUCUGGGAAACUGCCUGAUGGAGGGGGAUAACUACUGGAAACGGUGGCUAAUACCGCAUAACGUCGCAAGACCAAAGAGGGGGACCUUCGGGCCUCUUGCCAUCAGAUGUGCCCAGAUGGGAUUAGCUAGUUGGUGAGGUAACGGCUCACCAAGGCGACGAUCCCUAGCUGGUCUGAGAGGAUGACCAGCCACACUGGAACUGAGACACGGUCCAGACUCCUACGGGAGGCAGCAGUGGGGAAUAUUGCACAAUGGGCGCAAGCCUGAUGCAGCCAUGCCGCGUGUAUGAAGAAGGCCUUCGGGUUGUAAAGUACUUUCAGCGGGGAGGAAGGUGUUGUGGUUAAUAACCGCAGCAAUUGACGUUACCCGCAGAAGAAGCACCGGCUAACUCCGUGCCAGCAGCCGCGGUAAUACGGAGGGUGCAAGCGUUAAUCGGAAUUACUGGGCGUAAAGCGCACGCAGGCGGUCUGUCAAGUCGGAUGUGAAAUCCCCGGGCUCAACCUGGGAACUGCAUUCGAAACUGGCAGGCUUGAGUCUUGUAGAGGGGGGUAGAAUUCCAGGUGUAGCGGUGAAAUGCGUAGAGAUCUGGAGGAAUACCGGUGGCGAAGGCGGCCCCCUGGACAAAGACUGACGCUCAGGUGCGAAAGCGUGGGGAGCAAACAGGAUUAGAUACCCUGGUAGUCCACGCCGUAAACGAUGUCUACUUGGAGGUUGUGCCCUUGAGGCGUGGCUUCCGGAGCUAACGCGUUAAGUAGACCGCCUGGGGAGUACGGCCGCAAGGUUAAAACUCAAAUGAAUUGACGGGGGCCCGCACAAGCGGUGGAGCAUGUGGUUUAAUUCGAUGCAACGCGAAGAACCUUACCUGGUCUUGACAUCCACAGAAGAAUCCAGAGAUGGAUUUGUGCCUUCGGGAACUGUGAGACAGGUGCUGCAUGGCUGUCGUCAGCUCGUGUUGUGAAAUGUUGGGUUAAGUCCCGCAACGAGCGCAACCCUUAUCCUUUGUUGCCAGCGGUCCGGCCGGGAACUCAAAGGAGACUGCCAGUGAUAAACUGGAGGAAGGUGGGGAUGACGUCAAGUCAUCAUGGCCCUUACGACCAGGGCUACACACGUGCUACAAUGGCGCAUACAAAGAGAAGCGACCUCGCGAGAGCAAGCGGACCUCAUAAAGUGCGUCGUAGUCCGGAUUGGAGUCUGCAACUCGACUCCAUGAAGUCGGAAUCGCUAGUAAUCGUGGAUCAGAAUGCCACGGUGAAUACGUUCCCGGGCCUUGUACACACCGCCCGUCACACCAUGGGAGUGGGUUGCAAAAGAAGUAGGUAGCUUAACCUUCGGGAGGGCGCUUACCACUUUGUGAUUCAUGACUGGGGUGAAGUCGUAACAAGGUAACCGUAGGGGAACCUGCGGUUGGAUCACCUCCUUA